GGGGGUGUAGCUCAGUAGGAAGAGUGCGUGCCUGGUUUGCAUCAAGUGCUGGGUUCAAUCCUUGGCACUUCCU
This is a non-coding RNA of Cricetulus griseus (Chinese hamster), 73 nucleotides long. The record is from Rfam. NCBI's taxonomy places the organism in Eukaryota, Metazoa, Chordata, Mammalia, Rodentia, Cricetidae.